GUUAGCUACAGGCUUAACACAUGCAAGUCGAGGGGCAGCAUGGUCUUAGCUUGCUAAGGCCGAUGGCGACCGGCGCACGGGUGAGUAACACGUAUCCAACCUGCCGUCUACUCUUGGACAGCCUUCUGAAAGGAAGAUUAAUACAAGAUGGCAUCAUGAGUCCGCAUGUUCACAUGAUUAAAGGUAUUCCGGUAGACGAUGGGGAUGCGUUCCAUUAGAUAGUAGGCGGGGUAACGGCCCACCUAGUCUUCGAUGGAUAGGGGUUCUGAGAGGAAGGUCCCCCACAUUGGAACUGAGACACGGUCCAAACUCCUACGGGAGGCAGCAGUGAGGAAUAUUGGUCAAUGGGCGAGAGCCUGAACCAGCCAAGUAGCGUGAAGGAUGACUGCCCUAUGGGUUGUAAACUUCUUUUAUAAAGGAAUAAAGUCGGGUAUGGAUACCCGUUUGCAUGUACUUUAUGAAUAAGGAUCGGCUAACUCCGUGCCAGCAGCCGCGGUAAUACGGAGGAUCCGAGCGUUAUCCGGAUUUAUUGGGUUUAAAGGGAGCGUAGAUGGAUGUUUAAGUCAGUUGUGAAAGUUUGCGGCUCAACCGUAAAAUUGCAGUUGAUACUGGAUAUCUUGAGUGCAGUUGAGGCAGGCGGAAUUCGUGGUGUAGCGGUGAAAUGCUUAGAUAUCACGAAGAACUCCGAUUGCGAAGGCAGCCUGCUAAGCUGCAACUGACAUUGAGGCUCGAAAGUGUGGGUAUCAAACAGGAUUAGAUACCCUGGUAGUCCACACGGUAAACGAUGAAUACUCGCUGUUUGCGAUAUACAGCAAGCGGCCAAGCGAAAGCGUUAAGUAUUCCACCUGGGGAGUACGCCGGCAACGGUGAAACUCAAAGGAAUUGACGGGGGCCCGCACAAGCGGAGGAACAUGUGGUUUAAUUCGAUGAUACGCGAGGAACCUUACCCGGGCUUAAAUUGCAGAUGAAUUACGGUGAAGGCCGUAAGCCGCAAGGCAUCUGUGAAGGUGCUGCAUGGUUGUCGUCAGCUCGUGCCGUGAGGUGUCGGCUUAAGUGCCAUAACGAGCGCAACCCUUGUUGUCAGUUACUAACAGGUUCCGCUGAGGACUCUGACAAGACUGCCAUCGUAAGAUGUGAGGAAGGUGGGGAUGACGUCAAAUCAGCACGGCCCUUACGUCCGGGGCUACACACGUGUUACAAUGGGGGGGUACAGAGGGCCGCUACCACGCGAGUGGAUGCCAAUCCCAAAAACCUCUCUCAGUUCGGACUGGAGUCUGCAACCCGACUCCACGAAGCUGGAUUCGCUAGUAAUCGCGCAUCAGCCACGGCGCGGUGAAUACGUUCCCGGGCCUUGUACACACCGCCCGUCAAGCCAUGGGAGCCGGGGGUACCUGAAGUGCGUAACCGCGAGGAGCGCCCUAGGGUAAAACUGGUGACUGGGGCUA
This 1445-nucleotide ribosomal RNA is filed under the name uncultured organism. RNAcentral's name for it is "SSU rRNA". It matches the Rfam family "Bacterial small subunit ribosomal RNA". The record is from RNAcentral.